UCUGCUUGCAAGCUACCGGUUGAGGAUGGCUUCGCGUCCCAUUAGCUAGUUGGCGGUGUAACGGACCACCAAGGCGACGAUGGGUAGCUGGUCUGAGAGGAUGGUCAGCCACACUGGGACUGAGAUACGGCCCAGACUCCUACGGAAGGCAGCAGUCGAGAGGCUUUGGCAAUGGGGGAAACCCUGACCAAGCGACGCCGCGUGGAGGAUGAAGGCCCUUGGGUCGUAAACUCCUUAUGUCGGGGAAGAAACACGAUCAGGUUAACAAUCUGGUCGCUUGACGGUACCCGGCGAAUAAGCUCCGGCUAACUCCGUGCCAGCAGCCGCGGUAAUACGGGGGGAGCAAGCGUUGUUCGGAAUUACUGGGCGUAAAGGGCGUGUAGGCGGUUAGGUAAGUGGAAUGUGAGAUCCCUCGGCUCACCCGAGGACCUGCAUCCCAAACUGCCUGACUUGAGUAUGGGAGAGGAUGAGGGAAUUCCUGGUGUAGCGGUGAAAUGCGUAGAUAUCAGGAGGAACACCGGUGGCGAAGGCGCUCAUCUGGCCCAAUACUGACGCUGAGGCGCGAAAGCUAGGGGAGCAAACGGGAUUAGAUACCCCGGUAGUCCUAGCCGUAAACGGUGAUCACUAGGUGUUGGAGGCAUCGACCCCUCCAGUGCCGCAGCUAACGCAUUAAGUGAUCCGCCUGGGGAGUACGGCCGCAAGGUUGAAACUCAAAGGAAUUGACGGGGGCUCACACAAGCGGUGG
This 745-nucleotide ribosomal RNA is filed under the name uncultured bacterium. RNAcentral describes it as "bacterial SSU rRNA". It matches the Rfam family "Bacterial small subunit ribosomal RNA", at positions 195 to 935 of the family's 1533-position model. The record is from RNAcentral.